Molecule: long non-coding RNA, 781 nt
Organism: Xenia sp. Carnegie-2017
Lineage: Eukaryota; Metazoa; Cnidaria; Anthozoa; Malacalcyonacea; Xeniidae
Exons: 2
Source: RefSeq, a predicted model, not a curated record
CAAGUACCUAUCUUUUGAGUUUACUUUGGAUCUUAAUAUCUCAAUCUCAUUGUGCAAGAUCUUGAUUUUCUCGCGCAUUUCUGAAGCUCUCUAUGAAGAAAAAACAAACGACUCGCCAAAUUGAAAGAAGUCAGUAAUAAAAACGCGUGAGUACCACAUAUUGUGUGAAAGAAUGUAAACAAUUUAACCUGAGUACUAGUCUGUAUGAGAUUAACGCAUUUAUUUCUUUCAUUCUUUAUUACAUCAUACAGCUUGGCGAAGUCUGUCAAUCUUGUAAAUGAGAAGGUAUUAUAUUAUGUGUUCAAUUCACAGGUGCAAAAAUUUCUUUUCAUAAUACAUACUUAUGUUGCAUUUCAGUGUACUUCUUUGAGCUAUCUUGGAUCUGAAGGUUUUUAGUCUUUACGUCUUUAUGAGCUCUCUGGUAUCUUAACUACAGAAAAGAAAAUUUGUCGUAAUUGCCAUAGUAACAAGAACACUUUUGAAACCUGGACGUUUUGGGGCUUAUCUGACCGAUACGUGUUUUUGAACAAGCAAUGAUAACAGAUCAACAACAUCGAGUCGCAAGUUGGAUUGAUUACGAAGAAGGAUUUCCUGUUCCAGGAUCAUUUGUUCAACUCUGGCGCGCUCAUGUGAGGUAUAUCCAUUCUAUAAGCAUGUAAAAACAUUCAUCCAUAAACGUGGCGAAAGUGUAUCUGGUGUGAAAAUUUCAUGUAAAAAUAUUUCAUGUUAAAAAAUCCAUGUAGAACCCUCCAUUUGUUAAAUAAACAUGCAAUGACGUAGA